Molecule: ribosomal RNA, 785 nt
Filed under: uncultured bacterium
Lineage: Bacteria
Description: bacterial SSU rRNA
Rfam family: Bacterial small subunit ribosomal RNA
Source: RNAcentral
GCGUAAAGGGCUCGUAGGCGGUUUGUCGCGUCGGGAGUGAAAACCAGGUGCUUAACACCUGGCUUGCUUUCGAUACGGGCAGACUAGAGGUAUUCAGGGGAGAACGGAAUUCCUGGUGUAGCGGUGAAAUGCGCAGAUAUCAGGUGGAACACCGGUGGCGAAGGCGGUUCUCUGGGAAUGACCUGACGCUGAGGAGCGAAAGUGUGGGGAGCGAACAGGAUUAGAUACCCUGGUAGUCCACACCGUAAACGUUGGGCGCUAGGUGUGGGGUCCAUUCCACGGAUUCCGUGCCGCAGCUAACGCAUUAAGCGCCCCGCCUGGGGAGUACGGCCGCAAGGCUAAAACUCAAAGGAAUUGACGGGGGCCCGCACAAGCGGCGGAGCAUGCGGAUUAAUUCGAUGCAACGCGAAGAACCUUACCUGGGUUUGACAUACACCCUGCCGCUCCAGAGAUGGGGCUUCUUUUGGGGGUGUACAGGUGGUGCAUGGCUGUCGUCAGCUCGUGUCGUGAGAUGUUGGGUUAAGUCCCGCAACGAGCGCAACCCUCGUUCUAUGUUGCCAGCACGUAAUGGUGGGGACUCAUAGGAGACUGCCGGGGUCAACUCGGAGGAAGGUGGGGAUGACGUCAAGUCAUCAUGCCCCUUAUGUCCAGGGCUUCACGCAUGCCACAAUGGCCGGUACAAAGGGCUGCGAUCCCGUAAGGGGGAGCGAAUCCCAAAAAGCCGGUCUCAGUUCGGAUUGGGGUCUGCAACUCGACCCCAUGAAGUCGGAGUCGCUAGUAAUCGC